GCUGACGAGUGGCGGACGGGUGAGUAAUGUCUGGGAAACUGCCUGAUGGAGGGGGAUAACUACUGGAAACGGUGGCUAAUACCGCAUAACGUCGCAAGACCAAAGAGGGGGACCUUCGGGCCUCUUGCCAUCAGAUGUGCCCAGAUGGGAUUAGCUUGUUGGUGAGGUAACGGCUCACCAAGGCGACGAUCCCUAGCUGGUCUGAGAGGAUGACCAGCCACACUGGAACUGAGACACGGUCCAGACUCCUACGGGAGGCAGCAGUGGGGAAUAUUGCACAAUGGGCGCAAGCCUGAUGCAGCCAUGCCGCGUGUAUGAAGAAGGCCUUCGGGUUGUAAAGUACUUUCAGCGGGGAGGAAGGUGUUGUGGUUAAUAACCGCAGCAAUUGACGUUACCCGCAGAAGAAGCACCGGCUAACUCCGUGCCAGCAGCCGCGGUAAUACGGAGGGUGCA
This 453-nucleotide ribosomal RNA is filed under the name Salmonella enterica subsp. enterica serovar Enteritidis. RNAcentral's name for it is "bacterial SSU rRNA". It matches the Rfam family "Bacterial small subunit ribosomal RNA", at positions 87 to 536 of the family's 1533-position model. The record is from RNAcentral. Lineage: Bacteria; Pseudomonadati; Pseudomonadota; Gammaproteobacteria; Enterobacterales; Enterobacteriaceae.